UGGAAGUGUCAUUUUUUUCCUGGGCUUUGUGUUUUUUAUUCUGGCUGUCGUACUCUUCAUGUAUUGUCACGCCCCGCGACCGCCCGCCUAUUUGACCGGGUUGCGGCGCCGCAACAGAUCGCCGAACGGACAGGGUUUCCCCUGUACCGCGGACAGAGUCUCCCCUGUACAUUCAAGGCUUCGCAAUCAAUACAAUGUACGAAGUUCCAACCAGGAACACAUUUCAAUCAAGACUGCAUAAUGGAAGGUAUCAAACAACAUAAACACAUCCUAUAUUAUUACAUUCAUUCACAUUAGAUUCAUUUUACAUCACAAUUACAUAAUGCAUUCUUUUUAGCUUCCAAAUACAAUCUAGCUUUAUCAAUAUUAUUACAACUUGAUCCUUUUCAUUUUCUUGCAUCCCUAAGUAAGGCCGACUCAGGGUACCGCUAUCUCUGGUCUCGGUGGUAGGGCGCUAACUAUGAUGCUACGCCCUCGCCUCGCGCCGCCACGCCGCUCACGUGCGAACCUGUAAACACCCCAAAAACACGUGGGGUGAGAACCAACUCCAUGGUUCCCAGUAGGUACGGCCACCCAAGAGAAAAGCUCGACCAAUAGGUCCAAGGGAGGCAACUGCAAGUUAGUUCAAUAAACAGAUAAAUAUAUAUCUUGAUUAUGCAACGAAUAAAACCAUGCAUUGCCUCACGAAUGCAAUAAUGCAAUGCUAUAUGCAAAUCAUGCAAUAAUGCAACUAUGCAACCAACUAGUAGUUCAUUCGAUACUACUUUCAAUUCUGCUAACCAUAGCUCAUCCAUUCGAUAUCUAAGGUUUCCUCUAUCUUAGAUUCUUGUCAAUCACCGUUUUAAUCAUAAAGUUCCAUCUAUCUUUACAAGGCUAACCACCCGACUCGGUCUUGAGUCAAUCGUCUGCGGAGUACCGCACUAGAACCAGGCUCGAGGCGAUGGACGUCUCACAUACACCUCAGCCCUAUAUCCUCUCGACUAGGAUACCAAAUCCAUAACUCAUAAUGCAUACUUGUUGUACACUCAUUUGGCUAUAACCCAAUCUUACCGGUUAACCAUGUUAACCCCAAUAACCCACUACCAAAUCCCUUAAUAACGGGGGACUCGAACCUCCCUAGGGACCGUCAACUGGUGGGACUUUACCACGCCCAGUGGUGACCAACUCCGGAGCGCACCGCCCGAGGGGGAGCUACCUCCCUCAAGCCAAGACGUAACGUGAGUAUCGAUCCAAUCCUCAACUUGAGGAUUCAUAGCCACUCGUCACAAUGCCAAUGUCAUGAUAGGUCUCUACCUAUUUAAUCAUGCCACUCUCUAUGUCAACUUGGACCAAUGUCAAUAUAGUUAAACUAUGUUUAACAAUCACUUUCUUGAUGCCAAUCAUGUCUCUAUUGUCAUUGUCACCCUUGUUUACUAAUAUUCAAGUCCAACUCUCACAUUUACACAAUAAUAGGGUCCUAACAUACAUGAAUGACGCCAGAAUAUAUAUGAUCAAUCACCACAAGUGUUUGCUAGGUUCAAGAUGCUAGGUUUAAUGCCACUCGAUCUAAUAUAUAUAUAGAUUGUCCACUAUGUUCCACAACAUGGCAAUAUGUCAUCAAGUAUGUUUUUCUAUUUAACAUAAUCCACAAUAUGUAAAUUCAUAAUAUAUCAUCAUGCACAUAUACCACUAGCAUCACAUGAUUUGUCAACAUACAUAUAGUCAUUAUCCAAAAUAGUCCAUACUUAGCAUCUCAUGCAUUCUUUUAGCAAUUAAUUCAUUAUGCAUUACGUUUAGCAUAUUCUAUAGUAUGUUAACAUGCAUUCUUCUCACAUUCUUAUAUUAUGUCAAUAUGCAUCAAUAUGAAAUCUCAUUUCUUAGACAUAAAGGGCGACCUAGUCGCUUCGGUAAGCACAACCCACCUCAUUUCGCAUUCCGAUUGCUUGUCGACACUUGCAAUCGGCCUCCCGCGGCACUCGGCACCCGAUUUGGCCCGAUCUCUCACGCGACCACCCGAACGGCCUCCAAUUCACGAUCCAAAAAUUAAAGGUCUUCGGUUAUGUGCCACGAUGCUUCAAAUCUAUUUUCAUGAAUUUACGAUAUCGCCUCGGCCCUCCCGGCGGACCCGAAGCCUAAACGUCCAUUUCUUUAAUAACUUUGUAACGGCUCGUCAGAUUGCCGAACCGUCUUCGCCAACGCGUUUCGCUACCUAGCAAUUAAGUUUACGGAGGGUCAAAUUAGAUCAAACCCUCAUAUUUUAUAAAACCCCAUUUUCUAAGCCUAACAUGAAUUAAUCUCCAAAUAAUCCAAACUAAAUAAAGCAAACAUGUUUAGAAUGCUCAUUAGAGGCUAUUAGAAUACUAAGCAUUAAGGAUUAAGCCAAAUCCCAAAAGCUUACCACAAUGUGAACGCCGCGACGACAACACACCGCUCCAACGGCCGCACGAAAGCCCGAUCCGUCGCCUCCAACGCGUUCGCAAGCAGCUUCUCCACCAACCCUCCAAUUUUUAGAGAGAGAUUUAGAGAGAUAAGAGAGAUCUCUAUAGAGAGAAGGGAGGGUUUCCCUCCCCCUCCAUGCGUGUGUGUGUGUGGGGGGUGUGUGCGGCUGAAGGAGAAGAAGAGGAGUCAACACUCCUCUUUAGUCAACGCCACAACACUAUUCACUCCCGGGCAGCUUGAAAUCUGAUAACUUUCGCCGGAGCUCCCUGAAUGUCCGUUUGAGCUCAAACUUGACAGUCAUGUUCGGUU
Molecule: long non-coding RNA, 2727 nt
Filed under: Ananas comosus (pineapple)
Lineage: Eukaryota; Viridiplantae; Streptophyta; Magnoliopsida; Poales; Bromeliaceae
Description: long non-coding RNA (ACOM_LNC016580)
Source: RNAcentral